Molecule: transfer RNA, 104 nt
Filed under: Terrimesophilobacter mesophilus
Lineage: Bacteria; Bacillati; Actinomycetota; Actinomycetes; Micrococcales; Microbacteriaceae
Description: tRNA-OTHER
Source: RNAcentral
GGGGAAGUUCUCCGGGGAGUCCGGGUCCUCGCACGCAUAGCGGAGGUCGCCGCUCGUCAACUGGUCGACGACGUAUUUCGCCGGUUCGACUCCGGCCUUCUCGG